Peromyscus californicus insignis is the source of this 10730-nucleotide long non-coding RNA. RefSeq lists it as uncharacterized. The record is from RefSeq and is a predicted model, not a curated record. The transcript has 3 exons. Lineage: Eukaryota; Metazoa; Chordata; Mammalia; Rodentia; Cricetidae.
UUUCUUAUCUUUUCCACAGUUUCCUACCUUGGUGGCUAGGAGCACUCUCUCCAUCUGUGCCUGUUGCCUAUCCAAUAUCUUGGUUAGGUUCCUCUCUUGCCUUCUGUCUCUCUUCUUUUUUCUUUCUCGAUGUUCUCUUUCCCUUCUCUCUUCCUUUUGGUCCUCCAUUUCUCUUUUAUUAUAAACUUUUUGCCACUGCCACUAGGUCCCUUAGGCUUCUUUCUCCUAGUCUUUCUAAUGACUGUAGCUUUCUCUUAAUAUCUGGUGCUGCCUGAUUAACAUACACUAGGAUAACUGCCUGUUGUGUUUCCUCAGAUCCCGGCUUAUAGGGGGAGUACUGUUUAAAAGCCCCCAUCAACCUCUCUAAGUAUGCGGCUGAACUUUCUUCAUUUCACUGUCUUAUGUCAUCAAUUUUUGCCGUAUUAGUAGGUUUGCAUGGAGGAGCCUUGAGACCCGCUAACAGAGCCUGGUGGUAGACACGGAGAUUCUCCUUACCUUCUGCCAUAUUAUAGUCCCAGUUGGGGUGGGUGGAUGGAAAAGCACCACAGCUAAAGCAGGAUCUGUUAGAGGGGACGCCCAUGCGUCCUGGAACUAACUUCCAAGCAUUCUCCAGGAUCUGGUUCCUUUCCUCAGUGGUGAAGAGGCCUCCCAAUAAUUGAUAUACAUCAUCCCACGUGGGAUGGUGAGUGAAUAAAACUGUCUCUAAUAGGUUAGUUAAGUCUUGGGGGUCCCUAGAAAACAGCAUAUUUUGGGCCUUCCAAUUAUACAGGUCACUAGUGGCGAACGGCCAAUAUUGGAAGGGUUGGUUCCCAAAUCAUCUGGAGGGCCAGCAGGCCUGAGGAGAAGAGCUGAUGUGGAGUCUGGUUGAGGGGCUGACAUGGAAGGGGCUCCUGCCCCCUCCUCCUGUGGUAGACAGAGCUGCCCCCCUCCCUCCACUCUUGACAGCUGCGGCUCUGGGGCCUGCUCCACAGGAGGCGCUGUGGGGUGUGUUUGGGGAAGUUGAGGAGAUCAGGGGGGGCGGAAAAAGUUCUGCUUCAGGAGAUCCUCCCUGGAGCACAGCAGCAGGCUUCUUCGUCCCUUCUUCCUGAUUCACUGAGGAACUCCUGGGCUUGACUGCCAAGACCUGAGUGCCUUGAACGUGCUGUGGGGGCAGAAAUAGCUUUACUCAGGGAAGGGGUCCACCUUCCCUAUCUAUCAGGCCCCUCCAAGUAACUGUAUAGGAGACUUGGUCAGGGUGGCCAGGGUUAGGGCGAAAAACAAUCUCUACUCAGUGGAUGGUAGCAGCAUCAAAUGUUCCCCCUUCUGGCCACCCAAUGUUGAAAGUUGGGUAAACAGAACACUCAGCUGAACAGAAAAUGACCCAUCUCUUCUUCUUAACAAUCACGCUGUUGUUGCUUGCAGUCUCCUGGAAAUCCUGCCAGUGAGCAAGGGUUAAGUCUAGGGGUAAAGUCGGGGUAUUCCCCAUAGAGGAAGAAGAAAGUCAAAGAUAGUAGCUGAAAGAGAGAGAGAGAGAGAGUAAAGUAACAAUGACCACAAUAAAACACAAAAUGACUCUAACAAUUUCCCAGUUCCAAGUACAAGCUGGCACUUCCUCCUGUGGUAGGGGAAGAUGCCCAAAACCACUCCUAAUGGGUCAUCUAAUGAACAGGAGAGGCUCCUGGUCACUUUCCAGAGGAGGCUGCUAAAACCAAAUGGUCACCUCUGAGGUGGCCCCAAAUGGCUCGGGAACAGGGGGUCCCUUGUCCAAAUUGGGGAACGAGACGUCUCUUUUUCACUCCAUGUUCACUGUCUAGACACGUCUGCCCCAGUGAGAACCUGCAAAGUACAAAUCGGUCGACCAGUACAAAACGAAAGUAACAAGACGGAGACACAGACAAGACAGAGAGUGCUCUUGUCAUGUCAAUGGACCUCUGGACCCUUGAGGGUCCCAGUGGGGUCUCUGGGUUUCCUGGUCACCCUGACCAAAUGUUAUGCUCUUGGUCCCCAAAGAGACCACUGAAGAAUGUUGUGAUCGUGUCCCCAAAGAGACCACUGAAGAAUGAGGAUGUCCAGAAUGCAAAAGCAAAGGUUAUUUCUGUUAAAGCAGCACAGCAGGGAACUCAUCCCAAACACUCACUCCUAGCUGUGAAGCUGAGAGGUGCUCCCCUUUUUUUGUAAGGCUAGCUCUUAAAGGCAAAGACCACAUAAUUCAUUCCCCCUCAACCCACCUACCUCCCCCCAGUUAGAAUCAGUUCCUUUUUCCCCAGUCUUUGAUCUCUCAUCCUUUUAGCAACUAUGUCAGGAGUUUUAUGAGCUGUCUCUGGAAUUGGGAUAUUUUAUAUCCAAUUAGUCCAGGUGGCCGAACAUCCUGACUUUGUAGUUGAUACCACCAUCUGGGAACCUGCAACUGGCCUGAGUUUUAUCUACACUAAGAUAUCCUGGUUUAAGCUUCUCUUUGUCUAUAGAGAAAAGAGUGGGGGUCUUACUGAGGUUUCACAAGCUAGAAAGUGGGUUCACAGCAGCUAGGUGGCAGGCUGAGAUCCAAGCUCCUAUUCUGGGCCCUCUGCUUCACAGAUUAAUUAUUAAACCAUAGACCUUCCUUAUGAGUUUUCACUUUGUUUGUUUUUAAGGCAGAUCCAUUCAUUUUUAAGGAGCACGAGAGAGUCCUGACACCCAUGUGGAGCACUAAAGAUUUCAUAAGAAUGCAGCAUUUGCUGCUUGGUCUAGUGGAGAGCAGUCAAAUCAGCCAUGGUUGCAGCAAAUGCAACGACACACAGAGGGGAUAAUGGCAGCACACGUAAUGUGGUACUCAAACAUACCUGCAGGAACAAUACUCAUAUACAUAAAAAAUGAAAUAAAUAUUAAGAAGGGGGAAAAACAAAAAUUAAAAUAAGACACAAAUGCAAGUCAGGGGCUUGUGAACUGGCUCAGCAGGUAAAGAGUAGUAAAGCAGGAGCUCUUCCAAAUUCUUUUUUAAGCCAGAGAUACCCUGGUGUUGAGAGAUGAAGACAGGUCGGUAAAUAGAUAGAAAGAAGGAUGGAUGGAUGGAUGGAUGGAUGGAUGGAUACAUAGAGAAUAGACAGAUGAAUAGAUAGAUAGAAUUAUAGGCCUAUUAUCCUGAUGAACAUAUGAAUACAAAUUUUCAAUAAAAUAUUUGCAAAUCAAGUUCAGGAUCACAUCAAAAAAAAUAUCUACCGUGGUCAAGUUGUCUUCACCUCAAACAUGUAAGGGUAAUUCAACAUACACAAAUCAAUGUAUUUAUUACACCACAUAAAAUGAAUAAAGGAAAAAAACAAUAUGACCCUCUGAGUAUAUGAAAAAAGGCUUUGUAAAAUCAAACUUUCGUCAAUGAUAAACGUCCUGGAGUAUUUAGGGAUAUAGAGGAUAUGUUUCAACAUAAUAAAGUCAUUGUAUAACAAGCCCACAGCAACAUCAUGCUAAAUACAGGAAAACUCAAAGCAAUUCCAAAAAAAGAAGGAACAAAAAAAAUAUUCACUCCUUCCACUCCUAUUCAAUGCAGUACUUGAACUCUUAGCAAGAGCAAUAAGACAACUGAAGGAGAUAAAGGGGAUAGAAAUGGAAAAGUGAGAAGUCAAAAUGUCCUUAUUUGCAUAUGAUAUGAUUCUAAACAAUUAAAACUUAAAAUUUAUCAGAACUCCCUUAAACCUGACAAAUAGAUUCAUAAAAGUAAAAGAUUGUAAAAUUAACACACACAAAUCAGUGGCCUUCCUGUAUACCAGUCACAAACAUACUAACAAAGAAAUCAGGGAAACAGUUCCACUCACAAAAGGCUUUAAAAUGUAUGACAAGACAUUUUAUAUGAUCACACUUUAAAAGCAUGCUAUUAAAUACAAUGUAUCACCCCUUUCUAUGGAACUUAAUAAUGUGUCCAUAAAUGUUCUAUUAUUGGGCAAAGGAUAAUUUUUAAAGUGGAACAGGCAGGAAUAUCCAGAGAUAAUUUUAGAAGGGUAAAGUAGGGAAGCAUGAUAUAUUGGAGAGGAGCAUGACAUAUGAGAUGGAAAAAAAUACUUUAAGAGAGAAAUGUGAGCAGUGGGUGUGAUUGGUAGAGUUGAUAUUGCAAUAGAUUUCAGUGUCCAGAAACUUUGUGAAUGGUGAAAAAAGAGGCUACAGGCUGGAAGAACAAUGGGCUGUGAGAGCAUGCCCUGAAAAUAUGGCAAGUGUUCUAGUUAACUUACUAUUGUUGUGAUAAAAGUCCAAAAAGCCAAUCUGGGAAAGUGAAGGGUUUAUUCAUCUCACAGAUUGCAGUCCAUCAUCAAGGGAAGCCAAGGCAAGAUCCCAAAGCAGGUGCUUGAAACCACACAAAAUGCUGUUUACUGCUCUGCUCGGCUAGCUUUCCUCUGAGGCCCAGGAUCACCUGCCUAGGAAUGGCACUGCCCACAGAGGGCUGAGCCAUCCUUCAUCAGUUAGCAACAAGAAAAUUCCAAAGAAACAUGCCUGCAAGCCAGUUUGAUGGAGUCAAAUCUUCAACUCUGUGUCAAGUAAACAGCCAAAAUUAGCCAUCACAGCAAGCCAGAAGGGGAAAACAUAAACCUCAACUUACUGCAAAGAACAUUGACACUCCAUGAAGAGGAUUCUAUGUCCAAAGUGAAAUUUCCAUUGUAGGAAGAAUGAUUCAAUAUGGUUUAUGUCAGAAGUGAAAUAAUCAGUAAAAUGAUGAGUGAUUAUAAGCCCAAGCCACAAAGGAAAAGUUGGUAAAUUUGACUUCUUAAAGUCCCUUCUGGAGGCUGCAGGGUAACAUGGGGAGGGGCUGUUGACUGAUAGCACCUUUGAGCAUCCUUCCAGUGUUUUGGUGGAGAGGUUCCUAUCAGAAGUCCUACCCCUUACUACAGAGACCAGGUCCCAAAUACAAGCCUGAAUCACUAACUGCAUGCCAGAGCUUAUGUUCUAGAGAAAUGGAGGAGUCCAUUCUGCUUGAGACCAGAGUGAGGCAGAAGGAAGCUGGUUCUAGAUCUCCCUGGAAAACAUGGAGGAAUAAGAUGUCCUGAGGAAGACUCAGGACUACAGAGGAGGCACCAUCCCAACUCUCCACCUUCACUGAGCAGGAGCACCAGAUGAAAAAAAUAGAGAAACUCACCGUCUGGCUAAAUAAUAUGACCUGUGAAAGAAAUGAGCUGUGUGAAAUCCUCGCCAAUUACACAAACAAGGAUUUGAAAAACAGGUAGUCAUUAUGCCCAGUUCUCUGCUAAUCAUCUUAAUACCACAGUAUCAAGCCCAGGUUUCCUGAGGAACAGGAGACUGUACAUCCAGGGUGUCCUGGUGCCUAAACUAAACUUCCUGAGUGCAUUCAAGAUGCAGAACUUGGACCCUGGGUAGGAGUGCGAUGGGGACACAGGCUGUUCUGUUUCCUAUAAAUGAAAAGCAGAACCUGUGGCCUGAACCAGAGUCUGAGGACAGGGACAGUAGUGUGUGAGCUCUCAACAUGCAUUUCAAGAUGCCUUGACAAGUGUUGGCUUGUGGGAGAUGCUAGGUCCUGUUAGUUUGUUGUGAGUCUUUGUACUUGACCAGCGGAUGAUUGUGUCUGAAAGCUCAAAACCACUCCAUAGGGAGUUUAUCUUCUCGUUGGCAAAAAAAAAAAAAAAAAAAAAAGUCAUUUGGGCAAGAAACUGUUCUUGUCUAGAAUGCUUGAUCAAGUGGACAUGCAGGACCCAUAGGAAGGUGGCCACUGAACUUUGCUUGGUGAAAUGGUCCUUCAGGUUCCUGCUUACCAGAGGAAACUGCCAGACAUUCUACAGGACACAGAGAGAAAUGAUUGGGAGACUCUAGGCGUGUGGGCUGAAGACAGAUGCCUCAACUUUACAAAGGAACAUUAGGUGACUGUCCAUGCUUCCAGGUGUCUCUGUCUACCCUGCAAGACUCCCAAAGUUACUUGUGUCCUUCUUCUCUUUCUCAGAUAAUAUUAUAUCCUUCUGGGCCCUUUGAUGUAGUUGAAGCUAGAUAGUUACAAUUUUCCUUAGUUAUGAUAACAGAUAAGGUAAAUAUAAAACCUUAGACUCACAAAUAUUAGAUAGAUAUGUUCUUUAAUAUUGUAACUGUAAUUCUUGCUUGAUAAUUGUUUUGUUAUACGUAAUUUUAGUAUGUUAAAGUUAAAACCUUCCUUUUUGAAAAAAAAAGAAAAAGGGGAAGUGCUGUGGAUGAUUGAUUGAUAAAUAAAACAGUGAUUGGCCAGUAGCCAGACAGGAAGUAUAGGCGGGACUAGCAGAGAGGAGAAUUGAGAGAACAGGAAGGUGCAGAGGAGGAGCCACCAGCCUGCCAUCCAGGUAGCAGCAUGUAAAGGCAGCAAGUAAAGCCAUUGAACACGUAGUGACAUAGAUUAACAGAAAUGGGCUGCAUAUAAGAGUAAGAGCUAGACAAUGGUAGACUUGAGCUAAUGGCCAAGCAGUUUAAAUAAUAUAAGCAUCUGUAUGUUUAUUUUAUAAGUGGGCUAUGGGAUUGCGGGGCUUGGUGGGACCAAGAGAGAAAAACUCUAGCUACAGGCUAUUAUGCAGGGAGCUACUUAGGGAACAGCACAAAGCUUUCAUUGAUGAUGUCAGUGGCCUGUGGCUCAUUUGCUUUGCAAGGGUCAUAUGAGAUCACAGGGAGGAAGCAGCCUUCAAGGACUAGAGCCCAGUGCCAGUGCCAAGUGAGGGGUUCUCAUUGUCAACGUUUUGGGUGGCAUGUGGUCUUCUCUUUUCUUCCUUCAUCCCAAUGUGUUCUCUUCCUUUUGCCAAGCUCUUGGUCAUAGUGACAGAAGCCUGAGUACCACCUUGUCAGUCCUUUUUCUGGGCAUGGUUCUGGACAGUUCUGCGGGAGCAUCCUGGAGCUUCCAGUCUGGAGCUGCCUGGAUGACCAUAGAUGUGGGUGGACUUUGAUAGGCUGAGGGUUGGUGUGACAGAUUUGAAGCUUCAAGAGAACAUGUUCUCCAAUCUCAUCAACAUAGUCUGACUAACUUGUGUUUUCCCCUAGGAAGUUUUAGGCCCAAAGGGAUGGAUUGCCGUAUUGUGGGUCUCAGUUGAAACACCUGAUGUGCAUAGUCUAAAUUCAGCUGUUUAUUCAGCAUGACGUCCUCUUCACUUUUUUCUUCUCACUUCUGAUUUCUGUGGUCUGUGUAUGAUCUAUGCAGAUGUGUGUAAAUGUGUACAUUGGUGGGUGUGUUCAGAGACUACAUAAUAAAAUCCCGUGUUGUCAUCUGUUGCUCACUCCCUUAUUCCCUGGAGCUCAGGUCUUUCUCUGAACCUGAUAUUUUCUCUUUGGGCUAAUCUGGCUGUCCAGCAAUCUUGGGAUCUCCUGUCCUCCAAGGUAGACCUUCUGUCUUGUUUAUUCUCAUCCAAUUCCUACAAGUUUCAAUUGCUCAGAAAAAGGAAGGAUGUAGUAGCUUUCUUUUUCUUCAUUUACUUUUAUUGUUUUGAUGUUAAUGUGGUUUCUAAUAAAUAACAAAAAUCAAACAAUACAGAUGUUUUAAAAAUAAACAGUAGGCACAGAGCUAAAACCACAGGAAAUGCCUGGUUUGUCUCAUUGACUUCACAACACAGAAUCCCACAGUGCAUCUUCUUGUUGACAUUGUGUUUUGACUACAUCAUGUGCAUGGCUGUAUCUUAGAACAUUUCCCUCUCAUAGCUGUGUAGAGUGCUGCAUUCUUGAAAAGCUAUGUAGGUCACUUCACUGGCCUCUUUCUGACUGACUUUGGGGCUAUUUUCAUAUCACAUGCACUGCAACCUGUUACAAACUUCCUGGGUUUUGACCAUGGGUCACUUUCUUUCUCUUGAACUAGGCAGGGUCUUCUGUGGAGGAGCCAGGGGAGGUUUAGUGAAGAGACUGCGAUGGAUCAACUUGGAAGCCGUGUGAUCAGUGAGUCUUGGGAUAGAUAAAGCUCAUGAAAGUAAAAGUAAGUGCAGGCCAGGGUAGCAGAGCCUGGCUGAGUCUAAGAGCCUUGUAGACAGCAGAGUGGACCCACUUCCUCCCCCUGCAGAAGACUUUCUUAAAGGCAGCCUUUUCUACCUGGACAUUCUGGGAUCAGAAGUGUGUGUGUGUGUGUGUGUGUGUGUGUGUGUGUGUGUGUGUGUGUGUGUGUGUGUGUGCUGUGUGUGUGUGCUUGUGCUGUGUGUAUGCUCUGUGAUGCAUUUCUGUACAUCUCUGUUUGUGUGUGUGGACCUAUAUGUGUGUUUUUUGUGUCUCUGUGUGUAUCUGCUGCCUCUGUGUAUCAUGCUGUAUGCAUGAUAGUGUCACUUUGUGUGUGUGUGUGUGUAUGUGUGCUCAUGUGUGGUUGUCUGUGUCCAUGGUUCCUGUAUGUAUAGCUUUAAGUGCUGAUGUGUGUAUGUUUGUGUGUAUGGAUGCUUAUAUGUGCAAGUAUGUGUUUGGAUGCAUCAAUAUGUUCACUUUUUUGUGUAUGAAGCAUCUUUAAUGAUAAUAGAGUCCAACUUUGUUGAAAAAGUACUGUGCACACUCACUUUUCAUCCAUCUAAUAUUGUAUGCUGCUGCCCAUCUUUCCACAUGUCCACUUUGCUCUCUAGGACAAAAAGGACACAAAACUACUCUAAGUCAAUGGUUUUCAGGUAAUUGUAGAGGGAAUAAUUCCCUAGCCAUGCUGUGGUGUGAGAAUGGGGCUGUCUCUGUGCACACCCUAGGCUCGUGAUGGUCUAAAGCACUCACCACAUGCUGUAGCACUCAGUAACUGCUUUUCUUCAAAGUUCUUCAUUUUGAGUUAAAAUCAGCCUCAUGGAGGGUUGGGAGCAAUGAGGACUCUCAGACAUUGCUGGUGGUAUAACAUAAUAUAGCACAGUGAGAAGCCACAGACUCUUCUUCAGAAAGUUAAACUGAAGUUCACAGGUGAACCAGUGAUUCCAGAAUACGAAGUAGGUGUCCAAGGAGAAGCUAGGGGACAUUAGUGUUGUAGUAGCAUUCCUCAGAGUAGCCUAAAAGUAGAAACUAUCUAGAUGUCCAUCAUUCGCUGAGUGAAAAAGUACAAUGUGAUUGAACCCUUCCAUGAAUUAUUGUUCAGCACAAAAUAAUACAUGCAAUCAUUUGGCCCUGAUAUAGUCAGCCUUUUGUUGCUCAAAGAAAUCCUUGACACAAUCGCCUUACCAGGAGGAAUUGUUGAUUUUGACUCCUUGUUGUGGCAAUUUUCUAGGUUCCUGGGCUCUUGGGUUUUCUAGUUUCCUGAGCUCAUUUGCUCUGACAUGAGGCAGCCUGUGGUAGAGGGAGCUUCUUUUGGGGAAGUUGCUCACCUUGGGGCCAACUGGGAAUUAGUGAAUAAGACCAGUGAGCUGGUCCAGUUGUCCUCUGCUGGGGAACAUUCCUAUACUGCACAGCCUGGAGAACUUCCUAAGCAGGGUUGGCUAACCAACCAGUACCCCAGAGGUCCACAUGUCUGUGCAUUAGGAUCACAGGAUAGGCACUUCAAUGAUUGAGUUGCCUGUUUCUCAUGGCCACUGUAUUCUUCUCUCAUCCUACAAAAGUAAAUAUUCUUCUCAAUAGUAUCCCUGGUGAUUGUUCCUUAUAUUAACAUUAGCUGGGAAAUUAAACAUGUUACUGCAUUAAAGUGUGCUUGUAUGUGUGCACACAUGUACUUGUGUGUGUUCAUGAGUUUGUUUGCAUGUGAGUGAGAGACCCUCCACUGAGAACACAGUCUUCUAAUAAACAGAGGCAAGAGAGCCUGGAUGAAAGACUAAAGGACCUGUUGAAGCAGGAGGAGCUGGUAACCCAGCAAAAGGACAUGGCAGAAAAGAUGCAACAUCACUUCAACGUCUCUGAGAUAAGGAUCUCCUAGAUGGUCUACAUUCAAUUUCCCAGGCUGCUCACAUUCACCUGGUAUCUAAUCAAGGCCAUGCAUUUUCUGACAGUUUAAUGUCGAUGGCUUUGGUAAGCUGACUGAGCACUCAGCCCUCUCUAGGUGGAGGGAAAUCUGUCAUGGAAGACUGUUGAUGUCAAGCUGUUCCUGACAGACUACACCAAAAACCAUAAUUUUCAUUCUCCAGGCCAGUGUUGAAGCUGACUCCAUGUCCUGCACAAGUGUUCCUGAAGACAAUGCACCACAGAGAUCUUCACUGUCCCUCAUUCCCCGGGUUAGUCACUUUUUCCUGCAUAUUUAAAAUCAGUGGGUAUGUCUCCAUUUCUCAGCCUCAACUGAAUUGCCUGGUCCUGAAAAAGGAUUUAUAGAAGACAUCUGAGUCAUCUUUGAUGUUUUUUGGUAUGCAGAUGCUGCCCACAUAUUUGUGGAGUCUCUAAUAAGUGCACAAGUGUCUGUAUGCUGAAAGAAUCAAAUAGUGACCAAGACAUUACAGGAUCAGCAGUGGGUGAUAAUUUAUCAAAAGCUUCCCAGAGGGACACAAAGAAUGCUCUAGAAAAUCUCUCAUUCUUAGUCUGAGUAAGGGCUUGGCCUACAAAGCCUGCAGGAGGCAUGGCUACAGUAGCUUUGAAAAAGGCUUUCACAUUCGCUGACUGCCUUCCUACCAUGUUUCCAAGGCCAGUCACAGGCUGUAGGUCUGUGCUGCUAAAAGUGCAGCAAGAGAAUGCUGCUGGCCUUAAUUGUUUUUGUUUUUGGUUUUUGGUUGGGUUUUGUUUGCUUUGGGAUUUCUUGUUAUAGAUUGAGAUUUUGAUAUUUAUUUUUUCUUUCUUUUGAUCUUGUAGUUUUUUGGGUAUUUUGAUAAGGCUGUUCACUGUUUAUAUUGACUUUUCCCUUUAAGCCCCUAUUGAGUAAUAUUACUGUGUUUUUAUUAAUAAUAAAGUGAUUUUGAACUUUUGUGUCUUAGAACCUA